CAACUUUCCAGACAACUAGAACUCUAGGCCUGUAUUUGAGAAAGGGUGGGCAGAUUCAGCUCCCCCAGGCCGCUGCUGCUCACACCCCUCGGAGAAUGACUUCCAGUUUCACACAAUCCCUCCCCUGGUCUCUCUUCCAUCGCGUUUAUAGCCAUGGAGAGGUCUGAAGAACUUAGCCCAGGAAAGACCACGCUCCUUAGGCAAGACUGGAACCUCAAACAAACCUGGACGAGAGAAGGGAAAUCCUAGGAAAAGGGAGUGGAGACAGCCACCCACUAGGACAAGCAUCUACUCCUUCUCUCCUCUUCUUGGGCCAAGGAACACGGCUAACUAGUUAAUAUAAGAAACCAUUAGAAACUGCACUUCACUCCUCAGAAAGAGUUGACAUCUCUCACUGCCCUCUCGCCUCCAUUGUCCUUUCUCCUGGACAGUUGGAACUCAAGGUCCCCUUUCACUCCCUUCUUGAAUACCCCUAGCACUUGCUGGGUUGGAGGAGCAGGGAACUCUCGGUUCUCCACUCAGGACUUUCUGGAAGCCCAUCUCCGUAUGCUCACCAGCCCACCCUCCUACGCUGGUCAGAGUGAGAUUGCUAACCUCAAGACCCCAUUCAAUGCCAGCUUUCAACUGCUGCUGAAGACCAAUGUAGGUCCUGGAUUAGAAGAACCGCAGAGUAUCCGGAGCUGGCCGACCCCAGACUGAUUCUCAACAGGUGGCUGGGUAGUGCCCCCCCCCCUGCUCUGUGUUGGUCGUGCCGGGACCCAUCGCACACAGAGAAGCCACCUUACCCCUCACCUCACCCCGUCGGCCCAAAGACUGACCACCCUCGCCCGAGUCGGGGGGUGGGGUGGGAAUCCCGGAUCACACACACACACACACACACACACACACACACACACACCAGGGUAGGGGAACAGGGAGGAUCUUACCUGCAGAAAGGUAAGAGAAGCCGGGAGCGUGUAGCAGCGGCGGAUAAAUAUUCAUUAGGAAGUGUAAGUCCUUUCAAAGGGCUCCGCGCGCGCGCGCGCUCUAGCUCCUGUCUCUUUCCCUCCCUCUGUCCUCCAGGAAGGCUUCCCCUCCUCUAGCUAUCUCAACGCCCCCCCCCCCUUCCUGCGAAAUACCGGGUGGAUCCUAGGCUAGCUAACCUGUUGGGAAGCCUGAACUGCGGCAGCGCCUCUGCAGCUAGCAGUUUGCUUUCGCUCCUGGGGCGCGCGUCCCCCCCCCAUCCCCUCCCCUCCUUCCUUUCGCCCAGCCCCUCACCCCUCCUAAAUUACUACAUCAUUAGCUUUAUUGGGCGGGGGGGGGGUGGCGGGUAACGGAGCAGCCAGACGCACCUCUCCAUAGAAGGGUGAAUAGUUGGUGCCCUGCGAUGCAACCCCAACUCCAUCUCCACCUCAUUCUCACCCAUCUGCACAUCCUCAUCCAAUCUUGCUUCUUUUUCUUC
Molecule: long non-coding RNA, 1441 nt
Filed under: Mus caroli (Ryukyu mouse)
Lineage: Eukaryota; Metazoa; Chordata; Mammalia; Rodentia; Muridae
Description: lncRNA (MGP_CAROLIEiJ_G0013489.1)
Source: RNAcentral